RNAcentral lists this ribosomal RNA (516 nucleotides) under uncultured Acaulospora. RNAcentral's name for it is "SSU rRNA". It matches the Rfam family "Eukaryotic small subunit ribosomal RNA", at positions 569 to 1081 of the family's 1831-position model. The record is from RNAcentral. Lineage: Eukaryota; Fungi; Glomeromycota; Glomeromycetes; Diversisporales; Acaulosporaceae.
AGCAGCCGCGGUAAUUCCAGCUCCAAUAGCGUAUAUUAAAGUUGUUGCAGUUAAAAAGCUCGUAGUUGAAUUUCGGAAUCUGUCCGUUGGUCGGGCUUCAUUGUCCGUACUGAUGUGAUGGGUUCUUACCUUCUGAAUAACCAGCAUGUCAUUAAUUUGGUGUGUUGGGGAAGCAGGACUAUUACCUUGAAAAAAUUAGAGUGCUCAAAGCAGGCUAGUGCCUGAAUACAUUAGCAUGGAAUAAUAAAAUAGGACGGCAUGGUUCUAUUUUGUUGGUUUCUAGGAUCACCGUAAUGAUUAAUAGGGAUAGUUGGGGGCAUUAGUAUUCAAUUGUCAGAGGUGAAAUUCUUGGAUUUAUUGAAGACUAACUUCUGCGUAAAGCAAUUUGCCUAAGGAUGUUUUCAUUAAUCAAGAACGAAAGUUAGGGGAUCGAAGACGAUCAGAUACCGUCGUAGUCUUAACCAUAAACUAUGCCGACUAGGGAUCGGACGAUGUUAAUUUUANAAUGACUCGUUC